UUGGCUGAAGCAGGGAGGGUGAAGCAGAGCAGCACGCAUGCGCAGCUUCCCUUGCUCCUCUCCGGAUGCCGCCUCCGCCUCUGAAACACUUUGCCCUUCCUGUACUCAAGUGGGGAGACCUGCGGCACCCUGCGGCUCCACGUGGCUCCCAGGUAAAUAUUCCUAACGCCAAAUCAUACAUGCUCAAGUGGAGACUCGAGCUAUCAAGUCGUUUUUCCCAGUGCUGAGAAUUGAACCCAUAGACUCUGAAAGAACAAGUGUUCUCACCACUGAACCAUCUCUCCAGACCUUUGUUGGGAUUUUCAAAGAUUAAAAUCAACCAAAUAUAAGCCCACUAUCAAAGAUUACCAAAUACCAAAGAAACAAACCACUACUGCCAACUACACUUCACCACCCUGCAAAGGGUUUUAGGUACUAAAAUGGACCGGGAAAGGGGGGUCUUUAUGGAGACCCAGUCCUAGCUGAGGAGCUACUGACAAUUGAUGGCGGCCAGAGGUGAUCAGUUUUCUUCACGGGCGUGGCCCUGGGCCAUUGCCUACGCCCGAUGGAUGGCUUUACACCUAUGUGUGUAUGGCCAGCACAGAGCCCAUGGAAGGCAAAGAGCACAUGAAGUUGGGAGGAGGACUUGGUCAGGAGUCCGAGAGGAGUUGGAGGGAAGAAGAGGGUUAGAUUAAACAAAAUC
Molecule: RNA transcript, 682 nt
Organism: Apodemus sylvaticus (European woodmouse)
Lineage: Eukaryota; Metazoa; Chordata; Mammalia; Rodentia; Muridae
Gene name: histone H3.v1-like
Exons: 2
Source: RefSeq, a predicted model, not a curated record